UAGGGAAUAUUGGGCAAUGGACGCAAGUCUGACCCAGCCAUGCCGCGUGAAGGAUGAAGGCCCUAUGGGUUGUAAACUUCUUUUGUACGGGAAAAAACCUCACCACGUGUGGUGAGCUGAUGGUACCGUGAGAAUAAGGAUCGGCUAACUCCGUGCCAGCAGCCGCGGUAAUACGGAGGAUCCAAGCGUUGUCCGGAUUUAUUGGGUUUAAAGGGUGCGUAGGCGGAUAAUUAAGUCAGUGGUGAAAUCUUGCGGCUCAACCGUAAAAUUGCCAUUGAAACUGAUUAUCUUGAGUACAGUUGAGGUGGGCGGAAUGUAUCAUGUAGCGGUGAAAUGCUUAGAUAUGAUACAGAACACCUAUUGCGAAAGCAGCUCACUAAACUGCAACUGACGCUGAGGCACGAAAGCGUGGGGAUCAAACAGGAUUAGAUACCCCCGUAGUCC
Molecule: ribosomal RNA, 444 nt
Filed under: uncultured bacterium
Lineage: Bacteria
Description: bacterial SSU rRNA
Rfam family: Bacterial small subunit ribosomal RNA
Source: RNAcentral